Molecule: ribosomal RNA, 433 nt
Filed under: uncultured bacterium
Lineage: Bacteria
Description: partial 16S ribosomal RNA
Rfam family: Bacterial small subunit ribosomal RNA
Source: RNAcentral
AACGAACGCUGGCGGCAUGCCUAACACACGCAAGUCGAACGAGACCUUCGGGUCUAGUGGCGCACGGGUGCGUAACGCGUGGGAACCUGCCCUUAGGUUCGGAAUAACUCCCCGAAAGGGGUGCUAAUACCGGAUAAUGUCUUCGGACCAAAGAUUUAUCGCCUUUGGAUGGGCCCGCGUUGGAUUAGCUAGUUGGUAGGGUAAAAGCCUACCAAGGCGACGAUCCAUAGCUGGUCUGAGAGGAUGAUCAGCCACACUGGGACUGAGACACGGCCCAGACUCCUACGGGGGGCGGCAGUGGGGAAUAUUGGACAAUGGGCGAAAGCCUGAUCCAGCAAUGCCGCGUGAGUGAUGAAGGCCUUAGGGUUGUAAAGCUCUUUUACCCGGGAUGAUAAUGACAGUACCGGGAGAAUAAGCUCCGGCUAACUCCGUG